CAUCAUGGGGGGCUUUCGUUCCUUUCAAGGGACAGUAGGGAUGAGAAGAGUCAAGGCCAGUUGAGAGGGCCAGGCAGGGAGAGCUACCUGUACAGGAAACAGCUCCAGGAAAACAGCUGGGUUGGGUGUGGCAGGAAACAGGAAGCAAGGUCAGGAAGGGGGUGGGGCUGGAAGUAGGUUUUAAGCCCUGUCAGCUCUGCACUGGGGUAUUUAAAGACAAGGAGGAGCUGCUUCUGAGUAUGGGAGUCAGGAGUUCUCCAGGAGAGGGAACUGGCUGAAUGCAGCAAGCCAGGAGGAGGACUCAGGGAAGCAACAUGAUUAUGCAAUGCAUGCAACUGCCGUUGAAUCUGGACUGGAAGCCGUAGCAGUGAAGAACCACAAGAAACCAAAAGCAAAAGGAAGCACUCUGCUUGAAACCUCCUUUGUCAUCAGAGCAGAGGAGAGGAUGGGCACCUGUCUCCCCAUCUGCAGGUACAACUGGUCCUCCAAUUGGCCGGAACCUGUUGUCUUCCUCUGGCUACGCCUGCGGUUGGUUGGACUCAAGUCUGCCUUACAAGUUUCCUCACUAGAUCUGGGCAAGGAUUUCAGCAGAUGGUUC
Molecule: long non-coding RNA, 598 nt
Organism: Hemicordylus capensis (graceful crag lizard)
Lineage: Eukaryota; Metazoa; Chordata; Lepidosauria; Squamata; Cordylidae
Exons: 3
Source: RefSeq, a predicted model, not a curated record